GGGGAAAUGUGUGUGACAGUGAAUGUAAGUGAGUGUGUGUCAGUGAAUGUGUGUGUGUUUCAGUUAACGUGUGUGUCAGUGAAUUUGAGUGUGUGUGUCUGUCAGUCAGUACGUGCGUCAGUUAGUGUGUGCGUCUGUUAGUGAGAGUGUGCAUCUGUCAGUGAGUGUGUGUCCGAGUAAGUGUAUGUCUGUCUAUCAGUGUGUCAAAUCAGUGAGUGUGUGUCAUUGUUUGUCAGUGUAUAUGAGAGUGUGUGUCUGUCAAUGAGUGAGCGUCUGUCAGUCAAAGUGCGG
This is a non-coding RNA of Pelobates cultripes (western spadefoot toad), 291 nucleotides long. NCBI's taxonomy places the organism in Eukaryota, Metazoa, Chordata, Amphibia, Anura, Pelobatidae. The record is from the annotation of a GenBank genome assembly.